Molecule: ribosomal RNA, 56 nt
Filed under: Citrobacter freundii
Lineage: Bacteria; Pseudomonadati; Pseudomonadota; Gammaproteobacteria; Enterobacterales; Enterobacteriaceae
Also listed under: 35 other names
Description: partial 16S ribosomal RNA
Rfam family: Bacterial small subunit ribosomal RNA
Source: RNAcentral
GGGUGAAGUCGUAACAAGGUAACCGUAGGGGAACCUGCGGUUGGAUCACCUCCUUA